RNAcentral lists this non-coding RNA (27 nucleotides) under Rattus norvegicus (Norway rat). Lineage: Eukaryota; Metazoa; Chordata; Mammalia; Rodentia; Muridae. The record is from RNAcentral.
UACAAAAUGAGACAUGACACACGGCGU